AGAAUCAACGCUGGCGGCGUGCCUAACACAUGCAAGUCGAACGAGAAAGUGGAGCAAUCCAUGAGUAAAGUGGCGCACGGGUGAGUAACACGUGACUAACCUACCUUUUAGUGGGGGGAUAACCUAGGGAAACCUGGGCUAAUACCGCAUAAUACCUACGGGUCAAAGCAGCAAUGCGCUGAAAGAGGGGGUCGCGGUCGAUUAGUUAGUUGGCAGGGUAAUGGCCUACCAAGACUGUGAUCGAUAUCCGGCCUGAGAGGGCGCACGGACACACUGGAACUGAAACACGGUCCAGACUCCUACGGGAGGCAGCAGUGGGGAAUUUUGCGCAAUGGGGGGAAACCCUGACGCAGCAACGCCGCGUGGAGGAUGAAGUCCCUUGGGACGUAAACUCCUUCGAUCGGGACGAUAAUGACGGUACCGGAAGAAGAGCCCCGGCUAACUUCGCGCCAGCAGCCGC
This 460-nucleotide ribosomal RNA is filed under the name uncultured bacterium. RNAcentral describes it as "SSU rRNA". It matches the Rfam family "Bacterial small subunit ribosomal RNA", at positions 26 to 518 of the family's 1533-position model. The record is from RNAcentral.